GACGAACGCUGGCGGCGUGCUUAACACAUGCAAGUCGAACGGAAAGGCCCUGCUUUUGUGGGGUGCUCGAGUGGCGAACGGGUGAGUAACACGUGAGUAACCUGCCCUUGACUUUGGGAUAACUUCAGGAAACUGGGGCUAAUACCGGAUAGGAGCUCCUGCUGCAUGGUGGGGGUUGGAAAGUUUCGGCGGUUGGGGAUGGACUCGCGGCUUAUCAGCUUGUUGGUGGGGUAGUGGCUUACCAAGGCUUUGACGGGUAGCCGGCCUGGGAGGGUGACCGGGCACAUUGGGACUGAGGUACGGCCCAGACUGCUACGGGAGGCAGCAGUGGGGAAUAUUGCACAAUGGGCGGAAGCCUGAUGCAGCAACGCCGCGUGCGGGAUGACGGCCUUCGGGUUGUAAACCGCUUUCGCCUGUGACGAAGCGUGAGUGACGGUAAUGGGUAAAGAAGCACCGGCUAACUACGUG
This 468-nucleotide ribosomal RNA is filed under the name uncultured bacterium. RNAcentral's name for it is "partial 16S ribosomal RNA". It matches the Rfam family "Bacterial small subunit ribosomal RNA", at positions 28 to 507 of the family's 1533-position model. The record is from RNAcentral.